CCUCCUUGUCUUUUCCCAUCAACACACUCCUAGGACACCGAAGAUGGCACUGCCAGCCAAGAUGUGUGGCAUAGGUGCUCUUGUUUUCCCAUGGUUUUCUAUUUCUAAACAUUGUUCCAUUCACCUUUAUUAUAGACACUGACUCAUGGAAUAGUUACAGGAACGUGUCCAUAGUCUCUCAGAACUAGGAACAGAGCACAGAAAUCUCUGUUCUUGACUGUUUGUACUGACCCCUGGAAAUUCUAUGUGUUUCAGUGGGACACAGACCAGGGCAUCCUUUUCCCUGAUCCUGUUGAGGAUGUGGAAGGAGUGACAGGAAGACUGUGGUCAGGAGUCUGGAUUCCAGUCCUGCUUUUAUCACCAACUAGUAUCCUUUGGCAAGGUCUGCUUUCUGAUCCUCACUUUCCUUAUCUAUAUAAUGAAGACAUUGGAUCACAGGAUCAUUUAAGGUCCCUUCAGAUCUAACUUUUUAUAUGUGAUAGAUCAUUUCUGAUGGUGGUCAUGAGAAUCCUUCCUACCUCCUAUUUUGUACCUUUUUUUAAAGGUACACUUUACCUAAAAGCUACAAUAAAAUGCAUACAUUUUGACAAAUGUAUACACUUGUAUGUAUACUGCCACAAUCAAGGUACAAAACACUUCCAUCAUGCCAAAAAGCUCCCUCAUGCCCUUUUGCUGGCAAUCCCCAUCCUCUAGCCUCAGGCCACCAGUGAUCUGCUUUCUGUCACUAUAGAUUAGUUUGCCUUAUCUAGAAUUUCAUAUAACUAGCAUAAUAUAUAUGCUCUUUUGUGUCUGGCUUCUUUCACUCAGCCUAACCACAUUCUUUUUGUAAUGUGCCUGUACCAUCCUCCCAUCAAGAGUAGAAUCUGUUUUCCAGCUCCUUGAAUCCAGAAUGGCCCUCUGACUUGCUUUGACCAACAGAAUACAAUGAAAGUAAUGCUGUGUGAUUACUUCUACCCCUUGGUAAACCACUGCCAUGUAAAAAUGCCUGAGGUAGACUACUGAAUUACUGAAGACCAUGUGGAGUGAGAGGGAGGUACAUGGAGGAGGACCAAGUUCCAGACUUGUGGAUUAGGCCAACUUGGAUCCUCCAGCCCCUUAAGAUACCCCUAAUCAAGACCACGUGGAGCAGAAAAGAGCCAUCCUCCCUGACCCCCGCCUGUAUUCCUAACCCAAAGAAUUGUGAGUGAAUAAAAUGCUCUUGGUUUAAGCCACUAAAUUUUUGGGUGGCUUGUAACAACCAAAACUAAAAUGAUGAGUCUUCUGCCCUGUCUUCCUUAAGGUCCAACAGAAUCUCUUUCGGGCCCUAAGACUAUUAGCUAACUAUACAGGUGUUUUCCCUGAAAUUUUUUCUACUUCUCUCUCUUUCCUUUUCAUAUUCUUCCUCCCUCGGGUGUCAUAAAUUGCAUCUGAAUUCUUGUAACUCUGUUUCAUGAACUUGAAAACUGCAGUGUGUUUUUCUUCCAUUUCACUUUACAGGGUUAAAGAGUAUCAAAUCUUUUCUCUCUUCCCUUCAGAUCCAGUGUUCUGGCAUUUGAAUUACAGCAUGUUCUAGAGAAAAAUAGAGUGUGGGAGCCAAGAACCCUCAUUUUAUACCUAAUGAGCUGUAAGGUUCUGGGCAAGUUUGAAAGCUUCCUACACCUGACUUUCUUCAUGUAAUCUCAUGAGCUGGUGGAGAGAGCAUAAACUGCAAAAACAGAUGAGAAAGUCAGUCAAAAGCAAAGUACUCUUUAUUUCCACAACUCGGACAAGUUUUCUGCAAUGAUAUUUGCGUGCCCUCCGUGUGUCAAGUUCUCUGUCACAGGCUUGAACAUGCAAGUGUUGGCAUGAAUGAAAUAUAGGAUGACUCAUCCAAUGAGAAUUUGAAUGCUGGCGUAAAACCAUAGAGAAAAUCCAGGUUCAAUAAAAAGGCUAAUAAUUCACAGAAAUAUCCUGGGAUCAAAGAGAAGACCCUGUGGCCUCAUUGGACAUUAGUAGGUGCCUUGGAAGAAGCAGAGGCAGGAGACACAAAGGACUUCAAGUGAUUGGAACAAGAACUGUAGAAGACAUACCUAAGCACAGGAGAGGGGAAAGAGAGCGUUCAAUUGCUUUUGAAAUGAGUAUUUAAAAACCAGCCUCACUCAGGGUGGCCCCUUGCAGUCCUCUGCUGAGUCAACUCUCUGCUUGGCAGCCUCUUGUCCAUAGCUGACUCAGGGCAGAAAGGUGAUUGAUUGCCUUAAGAGCCUUCCCCUGACCUCUCCACUCGGCUCUCCUUCCUCCACCCCACCAUUCUUCCAGAGCCCAGCUCAGAUCCACAGGUUUCUCCAAAAUGCCUUUCUUCCAUUUGCAGAUAACAAAAACCAGUUGGAAAGAAUAUAGGUAAAAGAGUAAAUUUACUGGAGGGAAGCGUCUUACAAGGAAGAGUUGAACAACUUAACCUCCCUCAGGGAGAAGUAGCCCAGGGCAGUUCCCAGGACCUCAGAGGCUGAAAAUCACAAGUGCCUCCAAAGGGUUCGCUGCCAUUAAUGAUUUAGCUACCAACUCCCAACCACUGUCUCUCUGCGCAAAUCUAAAAUUCCUGGGAGAAUCUGAUUGGCACAUAUACACAUGCACUCACACACACACACACACACACACACACACACACGCACAGUAUGUAUUCAAGCUCAAGCUGUUAAAUAAACUCAGAAAAUC
RNAcentral lists this long non-coding RNA (2670 nucleotides) under Homo sapiens (human). Its description in RNAcentral is "HSALNT0159902". Lineage: Eukaryota; Metazoa; Chordata; Mammalia; Primates; Hominidae. The record is from RNAcentral.